RNAcentral lists this ribosomal RNA (440 nucleotides) under uncultured bacterium. RNAcentral's name for it is "partial 16S ribosomal RNA". It matches the Rfam family "Bacterial small subunit ribosomal RNA", at positions 338 to 795 of the family's 1533-position model. The record is from RNAcentral.
CCUACGGGGGGCAGCAGUGGGGAAUAUUGCACAAUGGGGGAAACCCUGAUGCAGCGACGCCGCGUGAGCGAUGAAGUAUUUCGGUAUGUAAAGCUCUAUCAGCAGGGAAGAAAAUGACGGUACCUGACUAAGAAGCCCCGGCUAACUACGUGCCAGCAGCCGCGGUAAUACGUAGGGGGCAAGCGUUAUCCGGAUUUACUGGGUGUAAAGGGAGCGUAGACGGCGGUGCAAGCCAGAUGUGAAAGCCUGGGGCUCAACCCCGGGACUGCAUUUGGAACUGUGCUGCUAGAGUGUCGGAGAGGCAGGCGGAAUUCCUAGUGUAGCGGUGAAAUGCGUAGAUAUUAGGAGGAACACCAGUGGCGAAGGCGGCCUGCUGGACAUUAACUGACGCUGAGGCGCGAAAGCGUGGGGAGCAAACAGGAUUAGAUACCCUGGUAGUC